RNAcentral lists this ribosomal RNA (591 nucleotides) under uncultured bacterium. Its description in RNAcentral is "bacterial SSU rRNA". It matches the Rfam family "Bacterial small subunit ribosomal RNA", at positions 345 to 929 of the family's 1533-position model. The record is from RNAcentral.
UUGGCAGCAGUAGGGAAUAUUGCACAAUGGGCGAAAGCCUGAUGCAGCAAUGCCGCGUGUGUGAAGAAGGCCUGAGGGUUGUAAAGCACUUUCAAUAGUGAAGAAAAGCAUAAGGUUAAUAACCUUAUGUGUUGACGUUAACUAUACAAGAAGCACCGGCUAACUCCGUGCCAGCAGCCGCGGUAAUACGGAGGGUGCAAGCGUUAAUCGGAAUUACUGGGCGUAAAGCGCGCGUAUGCGGUUUAGUAAGUCGGAUGUGAAAGCCCAGGGCUUAACCCUGGAAUUGCAUUCGAUACUGCUUGACUAGAGUAUGGUAGAGGGAAGUGGAAUUUCAAGUGUAGCGGUGAAAUGCGUAGAUAUUUGAAGGAACACCAGUGGUGAAGGCGACUUCCUGGGCCAAUACUGACGCUAAGGUGCGAAAGCGUGGGGAGCGAACAGGAUUAGAUACCCUGGUAGUCCACGCCGUAAACGAUGAGAACUAGAUGUUGGGGGGGUUACCCUUCAGUGUCGCAGCUAACGCGUUAAGUUCUCCGCCUGGGGAGUACGUCGGCAACGAUAAAACUCAAAGGAAUUGACGGAAACUUAAAGGAA